This is a long non-coding RNA of Ictalurus punctatus (channel catfish), 1432 nucleotides long. NCBI's taxonomy places the organism in Eukaryota, Metazoa, Chordata, Actinopteri, Siluriformes, Ictaluridae. The record is from Ensembl.
AGAAUGUCUUCUAAUAACGUGAAUGAGUAAUAACUAUACAGAGAGCUCGAUGGUUUGACAGUUUCCCACAUCAAAGGGAGAUACGUGUUGAUACGUGUUGAUGUUUGGUUUCAUGCAGCAUGCAAUUAAACAAAGGUUUGUAGAGAUGAAAAAUUUUACUCUUUAAAAACAAAGAUGAUCACAGUAUGGUUGAUCAGAAAUAUGGCACAAGAAAAAGGUAUUCAAACUUCUGUGUGUAGUGCAUGGGUAAAUUGCAAAAAUGACUCAAGCAUAAAGAUCAGUGGGCCAGCACUAGAUUUAAAAAAUAUAUUUUUUAAAGCAUUUACUUUUUUGUUUUGUUUGCCAGUCCAAAAACAGAACAUGUGACAUUUCUGCAGCACUAAAGCUCUGUCCUUUGGCUCAGUUUGCAGCUUGAGGUUCAGUUUAGCAGCUCAUAUUGACACGAUCUACACCCCCAUCCUCAGGGCACGAGGGCUCGCAGAAUGGUUUUAUGAGGAUGAAAAUGCUGUAGAUCAUAUGCUGUGGCCUUAAUAAUGAGCAGAUUUUAACCCCAUUAAACACCUUUGUGAGAUUUUGGAGCGACAUGUUAGAUGGCGUUCCCACACAUCAUUUAAAACACCAGUUGAUCUUUUGGUAGAUGUUUUAUACUGUUUAUACUUCCACAAUUGUUUAUAUUAUCUAAUAUACUGUUAUUAAUAUGAUUGUGCUGUACAAGCUUUCUACUCUGUAAAACGUAGCUUUAUGCAGCCUUAAUCCCAAACUUGAUUAAUCUCUUUUAAUCUUGGACAUUCAUUCUUCAUGCAGGUUGACCAGUUUUCAGAAUAAUCCAAGUGACCACGUUAGUUAUGGUGGAGCUGAAUGUGCCAAUAUACUGGUUAAAAAUGAAAGGCUCAUAAUAUCCCUUUGAAUGAAACUCUCUUCCCAUGCAGGAGUUCUUCUGUGCUAUCAAGUCUUGGGAAGAAUUAGAGAAGCCUCAGCAUUGAUUUGGUACAGGGCCAGCAGGUCUACUGUUAAUGUCUCUUUUGGUAACGAAACCACAAAACUUUGGUUUCUUGUUGAUUGACCCAUCUGCCACAGCACAGCUUUCUGUUCAUGUGCCUACACGCACAGUGACACAAUUACAGACUCUGCUGAUGUUAGAAGCAGGUUUGCAGAUUUAGAAGAUUGGUCAGAUACAUGUGUUUUGGUAAAUUCACCUGUGCCUGUUCAAGUACAUUGCUGGUUCUUGGGAAACUCAGAGAUUGUGAUGCUGUAAGACCCUUAAUGAGAAUUUGAAAAAGCCUCCAGUUCUUGCAACUGAAAAACAACAUAAUCUCAGCACAGACUGUGACAGCUUUUGUCAUUCUGUAACAACACAUUGAUAUCAGUGACUGUGUCAUGGUUGUUGGUGCCAAUGGUUUGAGUAAUUCAGAAACAGUCUCUAGAAUAUGGG